RNAcentral lists this ribosomal RNA (415 nucleotides) under uncultured bacterium. RNAcentral's name for it is "bacterial SSU rRNA". It matches the Rfam family "Bacterial small subunit ribosomal RNA", at positions 47 to 507 of the family's 1533-position model. The record is from RNAcentral.
CCUUAUACAUGCAAGUCGAGCGCAUCCUUCGGGAUGAGCGGCGGACGGGUGAGUAACGCGUGGGAAUGUGCCCUUCUCUACGGAAUAGCCACUGGAAACGGUGAGUAAUACCGUAUACGCCCUCAGGGGGAAAGAUUUAUCGGAGAAGGAUCAGCCCGCGUUAGAUUAGGUAGUUGGUGGGGUAACGGCCUACCAAGCCUACGAUCUAUAGCUGGUUUUAGAGGAUGAUCAGCCACACUGGGACUGAGACACGGCCCAGACUCCUACGGGAGGCAGCAGUAGGGAAUCUUGGACAAGUGGGGGCAACCCUGAUCCAGCCAUGCCGCGUGAGUGAAGAAGGCCUUAGGGUCGUAAAGCUCUUUCGCCUGUGAUGAUAAUGACAGUAGCAGGUAAAGAAACCCCGGCUAACUCCGUG